UCUUAGCUUGCUAAGGCCGAUGGCGACCGGCGCACGGGUGAGUAACACGUAUCCAACCUGCCGUCUACUCUUGGACAGCCUUCUGAAAGGAAGAUUAAUACAAGAUGGCAUCAUGAGUCCGCAUGUUCACAUGAUUAAAGGUAUUCCGGUAGACGAUGGGGAUGCGUUCCAUUAGAUAGUAGGCGGGGUAACGGCCCACCUAGUCUUCGAUGGAUAGGGGUUCUGAGAGGAAGGUCCCCCACAUUGGAACUGAGACACGGUCCAAACUCCUACGGGAGGCAGCAGUGAGGAAUAUUGGUCAAUGGGCGAGAGCCUGAACCAGCCAAGUAGCGUGAAGGAUGACUGCCCUAUGGGUUGUAAACUUCUUUUAUAAAGGAAUAAAGUCGGGUAUGGAUACCCGUUUGCAUGUACUUUAUGAAUAAGGAUCGGCUAACUCCGUGCCAGCAGCCGCGGUAAUACGGAGGAUCCGAGCGUUAUCCGGAUUUAUUGGGUUUAAAGGGAGCGUAGAUGGAUGUUUAAGUCAGUUGUGAAAGUUUGCGGCUCAACCGUAAAAUUGCAGUUGAUACUGGAUAUCUUGAGUGCAGUUGAGGCAGGCGGAAUUCGUGGUGUAGCGGUGAAAUGCUUAGAUAUCACGAAGAACUCCGAUUGCGAAGGCAGCCUGCUAAGCUGCAACUGACAUUGAGGCUCGAAAGUGUGGGUAUCAAACAGG
Molecule: ribosomal RNA, 709 nt
Filed under: uncultured Bacteroidales bacterium
Lineage: Bacteria; Pseudomonadati; Bacteroidota; Bacteroidia; Bacteroidales
Description: bacterial SSU rRNA
Rfam family: Bacterial small subunit ribosomal RNA
Source: RNAcentral